RNAcentral lists this ribosomal RNA (643 nucleotides) under uncultured Actinomycetes bacterium. Its description in RNAcentral is "bacterial SSU rRNA". It matches the Rfam family "Bacterial small subunit ribosomal RNA", at positions 232 to 885 of the family's 1533-position model. The record is from RNAcentral. Lineage: Bacteria; Bacillati; Actinomycetota; Actinomycetes.
CGCGGCCUAUCAGCUUGUUGGUGAGGUAAUGGCUCACCAAGGCGACGACGGGUAGCCGGCCUGAGGGGGUGACCGGCCACACUGGGACUGAGACACGGCCCAGACUCCUACGGGAGGCAGCAGUGGGGAAUAUUGCACAAUGGGCGCAAGCCUGAUGCAGCGACGCCGCGUGAGGGAUGACGGCCUUCGGGUUGUAAACCUCUUUCAGUAGGGAAGAAGCGAAAGUGACGGUACCUGCAGAAGAAGCGCCGGCUAACUACGUGCCAGCAACCGCGGUAAUACGUAGGGCGCAAGCGUUAUCCGGAAUUAUUGGGCGUAAAGAGCUCGUAGGCGGUUUGUCGCGUCUGCCGUGAAAGUCCGGGGCUCAACUCCGGAUCUGCGGUGGGUACGGGCAGGCUAGAGUGAUGUAGGGGAGACUGGAAUUCCUGGUGUAGCGGUGAAAUGCGCAGAUAUCAGGAGGAACACCGAUGGCGAAGGCAGGUCUCUGGGCAUUAACUGACGCUGAGGAGCGAAAGCAUGGGGAGCGAACAGGAUUAGAUACCCUGGUAGUCCACACCGUAAACGUUGGGCGCUAGGUGUGGGGCCUAUUCCAUGGGUUCCGUGCCGCAGCUAACGCAUUAAGCGCCCCGCCUGGGGAGUACGG